Molecule: long non-coding RNA, 949 nt
Organism: Hyaena hyaena (striped hyena)
Lineage: Eukaryota; Metazoa; Chordata; Mammalia; Carnivora; Hyaenidae
Exons: 3
Source: RefSeq, a predicted model, not a curated record
CAGGCUCCGUGGAGAGCGUACCCUGCCGGCCGCGGGCGGUGCUGCUGCGGAUGGGCCGGGGAACCUUAAGCCCGGAUCCCGGGAACCAUUGCCCAACCACAGAUAAGCCCGGACCAGGGCCGGGUGAAGCCCCCGAGACGCUUGCGCAGGAGCCCUAGGACAAAAGUUCUCAAGAUGUAACUGGGGGCAACAACAGAUGGGAACACAUUGGAAAUCCAAAUUAACAGGCCCCACAGCAAACCUACUGAAUCACAGUCUCUGGAGGUGGGGUCCAGUAAUCUGUUUUAACAGGACCUUCUUCUAAAAUUUGAGAGCCACUGGUCUAGAAGGUGCUGGCCCUUCGUCCUGCUUGCAUGGGGUGGGAAUACUGGAGUCAAGGCAGCCAUGCUUCGGCCAUGACGUCCCUGAGGAAAUGAGCCAACAACUACCAGUAACCAUCUUCUUCCAUGAGAAGAUAAUUGGCCACAAUUUUGCUGAUGCCACUGGUUAAUCGGGUCUCCUGUUACUUGCAAAUGAUCAAAAUCCUUGGUAUGAGGAUAAAAAGAUGCACAGAACAAUUCCUGGUCUCGGAACUCCUAGAGGAGAGACGUGUAAAUCCGGGAAGGCAGCCCUGGGGAACAAAGUGCUACCCAAGGGCUAUGUUGAGGGCCCACUGGUGGCAGGUAAGAGAAGUGAAUGAUGAUUUUUCUGGGUGACAGGAGAGCGGGAAGAAGGCUUCACAUAAGAGGAACUGCUUGUGUUGACUGUUUAAAGAAAAAUAAGCGUUAAGAUGUUCCUGCCAUGGACGGCGGUACAGACCUAGACCACAGGCACCAAGUCCUGGUUCCGUUGCUCACACUGGUCUCACUAGACCGUGAACUGCACACAGCCACGCCAAGUUUAUCUUCUUGAUUUUGUUCCCAGUGUCUGGCAUUUAAGAGAGGCUCAAAAUAUACUUGCUGAAUUGAAA